AUCGCUUCUCGGCCUUUUGGCUAAGAUCAAGUGUAGUAUUACAAUGCAUUGUUUUGCUUCUCCUAUUUUAUUAUUAUUAUUAGUUGUUGUUGUUGUUAACCUGUUACUAUACAUAAUUAGUAAACCGUUUUAUCAUAUGCAUGCCUAUAUAGUCUAGACAGGCCUCG
Molecule: small nuclear RNA, 167 nt
Filed under: Fukomys damarensis (Damara mole-rat)
Lineage: Eukaryota; Metazoa; Chordata; Mammalia; Rodentia; Bathyergidae
Description: U2 spliceosomal RNA
Rfam family: U2 spliceosomal RNA
About the family: U2 is a small nuclear RNA (snRNA) component of the spliceosome (involved in pre-mRNA splicing). Complementary binding between U2 snRNA (in an area lying towards the 5' end but 3' to hairpin I) and the branchpoint sequence (BPS) of the intron results the bulging out of an unpaired adenosine, on the BPS, which initiates a nucleophilic attack at the intronic 5' splice site, thus starting the first of two transesterification reactions that mediate splicing.
Source: Rfam by way of RNAcentral